Molecule: unclassified non-coding RNA, 20 nt
Filed under: Mus musculus (house mouse)
Lineage: Eukaryota; Metazoa; Chordata; Mammalia; Rodentia; Muridae
Description: oocyte_clustered_small_RNA9970
Source: RNAcentral
CAUUGGCAUGACCAAGGCUG